Molecule: ribosomal RNA, 464 nt
Filed under: uncultured bacterium
Lineage: Bacteria
Description: partial 16S ribosomal RNA
Rfam family: Bacterial small subunit ribosomal RNA
Source: RNAcentral
CUACGGGACGCAGCAGUGGGGAAUAUUGCACAAUGGGCGCAAGCCUGAUGCAGCCAUGCCGCGUGUAUGAAGAAGGCCUUCGGGUUGUAAAGUACUUUCAGCGGGGAGGAAGGGAGUAAAGUUAAUACCUUUGCUCAUUGACGUUACCCGCAGAAGAAGCACCGGCUAACUCCGUGCCAGCAGCUGCGGUAAUACGGAGGGUGCAAGCGUUAAUCGGAAUUACUGGGCGUAAAGCGCACGCAGGCGGGUUGUUAAGUCAGAUGUGAAAUCCCCGGGCUCAACCUGGGAACUGCAUCUGAUACUGGCAAGCUUGAGUCUCGUAGAGGGGGGUAGAAUUCCAGGUGUAGCGGUGAAAUGCGUAGAGAUCUGGAGGAAUACCGGUGGCGAAGGCGGCCCCCUGGACGAAGACUGACGCUCAGGUGCGAAAGCGUGGGGAGCAAACAGGAUUAGAUACCCUUGUAGUC